AGCUAAUAGAACUAAUGCGUUAACAAACCAGCCACAAUCAUGCAGUAACGUUACAGUAUAUAGUCAGUAAGCAGUUACACCGUCGGGCCCCGAUGGCAAUAAAUUAAUAAAACCAGCUUACUUUGACAUGGAUGGUGUUGGAUAGUCAUAGCCAGCUAGCUAACAUAGUAUCCCUCUGUUCGAGCCGGGUGUUUGAGUACCUAAACUGGCCAGCUGAAUUUGCUAGCUAAAUUCGAAAAUGCUAAUUAGCAUCAAAGUAGACAUCAUGCAAAACUAAAAACCCCUGCAAGCUCCUGCACUUCAUCUCUAGCUGUGUAAAUGUUUUCCUCUUCUUCGUCUGAAGAGGAGAGGCGAGAAGGAUCGGAGGACCAAUAUGCAGCGUGGUUGGAUCAGUCAUGGACAGAAACUUCUGAGACGCGGUAUCAAUGAUGAACACCCAGAGGUUCACUGGUAAACCACAUUUUACUCGGGAUCCAUCCCAGUUGGUAUUCUGUGUCCACUCGUGGUAUCUCUCUUCGGUUACACAUCCCUGGAAUAGCAGAACAGCAUAACGUCAGAAGAGGAAUGGAAAUGUCAGGGUAAACCGACGACCUGACGAACCCACCAAGAUUGUUGACUCUGCCUGUCGGAGGUGGAGUUCCAGAGCUCACAGGUGUGCCUGGCAUGGAUUGUGACUCCAUCUCGUUCUUCGCCCUCUUCAACGUGUCAUUCUCCGCCUGACUCUCCGCCAAUGCCGCCUGGCUCUGGACCAAUGCAUCAGCUGUCGCCUGUAUCUCUGCCCUCAGAGAAUGUUUCUCUUUCUGCUGGUCUGCCUUCAAUGACUCGAUCUCGCUCUUCAAAAUUGGAAUCUGAUCCAUGUGUACCUUCAUCAGAUGAGCAGAAUGGUACCGCCCUGAGCCCCCAUCGAUUACAGUGGCCUAUGAUAGAAACGGUAGAUCAGUGAAGAAUUCAAAGUGACUCCAACACACAAAUGCUGCAUACACAUUAAAAAUAAAUAAGACCUACACCACUUUUAGCUGCACAUUACUCAACGCUAGUGAGACUCAUGUCGCCUACGGCAGGCCUACAGUAUAUUUAAAAAUAUAUUUUUCAAUGACGUGACUCUUCGUCAAUAAUUACAUUUAGAGGAUUGGAGGAUUCUACAUGAAUAUCUAAGGGGCAUUUUAUCAAUUAGUAUAUUUGAGUUUAACCACAAUAUUGUUGUAUUAUUUGUUCUGUCUUUUCUGGUGGAUUAAACU
This is a long non-coding RNA of Oncorhynchus tshawytscha (Chinook salmon), 1238 nucleotides long. Lineage: Eukaryota; Metazoa; Chordata; Actinopteri; Salmoniformes; Salmonidae. The record is from Ensembl.